GGGGCUGUCACUCAGUGGUAGAGUGCUUGCCUAGCAUGCAUGAGGCACUGGUUUCAAUCCUCAGCACCA
RNAcentral lists this transfer RNA (69 nucleotides) under Marmota monax (woodchuck). It matches the Rfam family "tRNA". Rfam says of the family: Transfer RNA (tRNA) molecules are approximately 80 nucleotides in length. Lineage: Eukaryota; Metazoa; Chordata; Mammalia; Rodentia; Sciuridae. RNAcentral also lists the same sequence under 1 other name. The record is from Rfam by way of RNAcentral.